This 639-nucleotide ribosomal RNA is filed under the name uncultured Actinomycetes bacterium. RNAcentral describes it as "bacterial SSU rRNA". It matches the Rfam family "Bacterial small subunit ribosomal RNA", at positions 232 to 886 of the family's 1533-position model. Lineage: Bacteria; Bacillati; Actinomycetota; Actinomycetes. The record is from RNAcentral.
CGCGGCCUAUCAGCUUGUUGGUGAGGUAACGGCUCACCAAGGCGACGACGGGUAGCCGGCCUGAGAGGGCGACCGGCCACACUGGGACUGAGAUACGGCCCAGACUCCUACGGGAGGCAGCAGUGGGGAAUAUUGCGCAAUGGGCGAAAGCCUGACGCAGCAACGCCGCGUGCGGGAUGACGGCCUUCGGGUUGUAAACCGCUUUCAGCAGGGACGAAACUGACGGUACCUGCAGAAGAAGCACCGGCUAACUACGUGCCAGCAGCCGCGGUGAUACGUAGGGUGCGAGCGUUGUCCGGAAUUAUUGGGCGUAAAGAGCUCGUAGGCGGUCUGUCGCGUCGGAAGUGAAAACUCGGGGCUCAACCCCGAGCCUGCUUUCGAUACGGGCAGACUUGAGGAACGUAGGGGAGAACGGAAUUCCUGGUGGAGCGGUGGAAUGCGCAGAUAUCAGGAGGAACACCAGUGGCGAAGGCGGUUCUCUGGACAUUAACUGACGCUGAGGAGCGAAAGCGUGGGGAGCAAACAGGCUUAGAUACCCUGGUAGUCCACGCCGUAAACGGUGGGCACUAGGUGUGGGGAACAUUCCACGUUCUCCGUGCCGUAGCUAACGCAUUAAGUGCCCCGCCUGGGGAGUACGGA